UUGAGCUCGACAGAGACACGCUUGCAUACUCGGUUAGGUCGCUCCCAUGAGUGCCGCUUCGGAGUGAGGCUUUUUUUGUAUUGACAUCGCAGCAGUCCCGUUUGGGUAGUUUUCUUGGACCGGCCACCGUCGUGGGUGGUGUGCGGUGUAGUUUGGGCACAGGCUGGACUGGCCAGUUGGCGAUCCGUUGAGAUUGGGUCAGUGUGAUUGAUUUGUAGUUAGUGAUGCAUUUUUUAUGUCUAUAGAGAGCAUGAUUUGGAUAGUGGUAGUAUAGUGGCAUAUAGCUGUAGAGUUU
This 295-nucleotide long non-coding RNA is filed under the name Ananas comosus (pineapple). RNAcentral's name for it is "long non-coding RNA (ACOM_LNC014749)". The record is from RNAcentral. Lineage: Eukaryota; Viridiplantae; Streptophyta; Magnoliopsida; Poales; Bromeliaceae.